This is an RNA transcript of Bemisia tabaci, 7721 nucleotides long. It is a transcript of the gene named ATP binding cassette subfamily D member Pmp70, with no coding region annotated. Lineage: Eukaryota; Metazoa; Arthropoda; Insecta; Hemiptera; Aleyrodidae. The record is from RefSeq and is a predicted model, not a curated record.
GAUUUCUAUGAAUCUAUGGGUAUGGGUCCUCUAGUCCUAUGACUCCCAUGGUUAUGGUAUGGUUCCAGUGAAGUGAAGCUCUAAGGACGUGAUCUACGUGAAAAAUACUUAGCGUUGAGUAGCGUUGAGCAAAAAUUUGUGUUUUUAAGUACAUCGUUUUCGCUUAGCAAGAUUAUGUAAUUGCGUUACUCGACAAAUUGUCGGAACCGUCUUCAUGCCCUUCCAAUCUCGCAUUAUUAUUAUUUCUUAUUUAAAUGGUAGUGUCGUUUAAUUCUCAUCUCGGACGUUGACUUUUUGGGCCCGAAGAUACUUAUUCCAAUUAUGGCCCCUAACAUAAGUAAAUUUGUGACGAAGAAAACUGUGGCUGGUGCUGCAUCUUUCUCGCUUUUACUUUGGAUUUUAAAGUCGAACCGGAAAUUAAGGCAAACAAGAAUCAAGAAAGAAGCCCACGAUGACAUUCAGUACAUGAUCGGGGAGAAAGGUCCGGCUAAAACGAAAGCUCACGUUGAUGCAGAAUUUAUUCGACAGUUGUGCUCAAUUUUGAAAAUUACUGUUCCUGGUGUUUUUUCGCCGGAGUUUGGUUUCCUUGUCCUUGUUGCAGCAUCCUUGGUUGCCCGAUCGCUCAGUGAUAUUUGGAUGAUUCAAAAUGGCACUAUGGUUGAAACAGCAAUCGUUAAUGCUGACAGAGAAUUAUUCAAAAAGAGAUUGAUAUAUUUCUUUGCUGGGAUGCCAGUGAUUUCCGUAGUGAACAACGUCCUAAAAUGGAGUAUUGGAGAACUCAAGCUUCGAUUAAGAACGCGCCUGACUCAUCAUCUAUAUACUGAUUAUUUAAAGGGUUUCACCUAUUAUAAAAUGUCCAACCUAGAUAAUCGGAUUGCAAAUGCAGAUCAGUUAUUAACAACGGAUGUUGAUAAGUUCUGCGAAAUGUUUGCAGACCUUUACUCCAAUGUUUGCAAGCCAUUUUUGGACAUCAUUAUUUACGUUUACAGGCUAACAACACACUUGGGCUUUCAGACACCUUUUUUAAUGCUUGGAUACCUUGUAGUUUCUGGCUCAUUUUUAACAUAUCUCAGGCGACCAGCUGGUCGAAUGACUGUUAUUGAGCAGAAAUUAGAGGGAGAAUUUCGAUACAUCAAUUCCAGGCUAAUUGCUAAUUCUGAAGAAGUUGCUUUCUAUCAAGGGAACAAUCGAGAGAAGCUGACCGUUCUUGCUGCCUUCUCAAAACUUACCCAGCAUUUACGCAAGUUCUUAGAAUUUCGAGUUGUGAUCGGUUUUGUUGACAAUAUUAUUGGGAAAUACAUUGCCACUGUUGUCGGAUUUUAUGCAGUUAGCAUGCCUUUCAUGAAAACCGAUACUUCACUUGCCCAUUUAUCUAAAGACGAACGAUUUCGGAAUUACUAUACUCUUGGAAGAAUGUUAGUAAAACUGGCUGAAGCCAUGGGAAGAUUGGUUUUGGCUGGAAGAGAUAUGUCCAGAUUAGCUGGCUUUACAGCUCGAGUCACAGAAAUUAGGAGGGUUUUAGCUGAUCUCAAUAAAGGUCACUAUGUCAGAACUAUGAUCGCUGACAAAUCUGGCAGCUCAUCCACAAAUGGACUAUUAGGAGGAAAAUCAAAUUCAAGCAAGUUUCCUUUAAUUCCUGGUGCUGGAAGAAUUAUUUUUCAAGAUAAUAUAAUACGCUUUGAGAAAGUGCCUUUAAUAACUCCAAAUGGUGAUGUGUUAGUCGAGAACCUGACGUUUGAAGUAAAAUCUGGAAUGAAUGUUCUUGUUUGUGGACCCAAUGGGUGUGGAAAAUCAUCACUUUUUAGAAUAUUAGGAGAACUAUGGCCUUUAUUUGGUGGAACUUUAACGAAACCUCCUCGUGGCAAAUUGUUUUAUAUUCCGCAGCGACCAUACAUGACCCUUGGAACAUUGAGAGAUCAAGUUACAUACCCUCAUACUCGAGAAGAAAUGAUCCGCCGAGGCAAAACUGAUGCGGACUUAGAGCAACAUCUGGAUAGAGUUCAACUAUCAUAUCUUCUCAGUAGAGACAAAGGUUGGGAUACAGUUGCAGAUUGGAUUGAUAUCCUGUCUGGUGGUGAAAAGCAAAGAAUUGCUAUGGCUAGACUGUUCUACCACUCGCCUCAAUUUGCCAUUCUGGAUGAAUGUACAAGUGCAGUUAGUGUUGAUGUUGAGGGUUCUAUGUACCAAUAUUGUCGAGAGGUUGGCAUCACGCUUUUCACAGUCUCACACAGACGCUCUUUAUGGAAACAUCAUGAGUAUUACUUACAAAUGGAUGGGCGUGGAUCAUUUGAUUUCAAACCUAUUGAAGAAGAUACUGAAAAAUUUGGGUCAUGAAAUCAUUGUAUCGGGGACACUGGAUUUCGUAUUGUGAUCAUGGUAUACUGGUAAAAAGUUCGAUUUGACAUGGGGAAACUGAGCUGCUGCUAAAAGAAUUUUUGACAAUCUAUCAGCAUUGCAGGUUUCAAACUUAGACCAAAGACAAGCGGUGGUUAAUCUCAAAGUCACUAAUGCUGUUUCGAAACAUCAUCUAUUUUAAGUGCUUCUAUCUAGUGUCCAGCUUAAGAAAUUUUCAAAAAACUCUUACUGUUAAAUUGCAUGCAAUUCUAAAUCUUUCCACUUUCCUUUUAAUUAAUUGAUUCUGAUUUCAUAAUAUCAUUUUAAUGAAUAUUCUGAGCAUCAUAAUGUAUUUAAUCAGUUCUCAGGUUAGGAAAAUUCAAUAAUGACCUUUGGAAUUUAGUUUUUGCCCCUGUCAACAUGUUCACUACCAAAACUGUCACAGUGACCGGCAUUUUGAACAGCAUGUCGCUGUGCAAUUAAAGCACUGUCAACAGGUUCUUGAAGAAAUAGACUACAUUUUGCAAUGAGGAACCACUAUUUCUAGCUCAUUUUAGAAACAGCGUAUGAGCCAUUGAAUUCCCUAUGCAGAAAGGUGCUUUUAUGGAAGAGCCAGUGAUAGUGGUUCCUUAUUGCAAAAUGCAAUCCAAAUAAUUGUAAAGAAGUAGUCAUGCACAUAUCGUUAGGAAGCGCGAUCGUUACGAUAAUGGGUAGAAACCUUUUUUUGAAGUGUUCCAAUUCCGCUGUUUUUCCGUGCUUUUCUGGCCUGGCAGGAACUAUUUCGAAAAACAUUUUUUUAGUGAACAUAUUAAUUUUCAUAUCAAUACUAUUUUUUUUGUUUUUUGUAAAAACUCAAACAAGGCAUCAAUUCCUUUCAUAAAAAAGGGAUUUUAUUAGCGUUACUACAUUACUUUAUGAAGGCCAACUGCUCCAAUGGAAGUAGUUUGAAUUUGAUGCUGCAAAGUCUCUGCUGCUUUUUUUUUUAUCAUUUCCAAAAGAUGGUAUCCUUGGAGUUUUAGACCCUGCUCAGUGCUCUUCUCUUGAUACUCUUUUUUCUGACCCUUUAAGGACUCUUUGCCCUGAAUGCAAUUAUAAUGAUCAGCAAUAUUCCUCAAAAAAUUACACGAGGAUUAAGAAGUUUCAAAACUUUGAGGACCCAAUUAAACAGAUUUCAUACUUGGCGUUAAAAUUUUGAUCCUUGCGAUAAUGCAAAUGAUUGGGUAUUGAAUUUAGAUCAAAGAGGAAAUCUUGACCCUGCACUAUAUUAAAAGAAUUUAGGGACCUCAAAAGGUUUUUUUGACUUAGCAGUUAUUGAUAAUUUUUAUUUCGGUGAGGGAUGAUGAAUAUUUUAUUGAUUAUGGGAUAGGUCAUAAAUAAACUAUUUAUUAACGAAUGGGCAAAAACGCAUUAUUAAGAAUUCAAAAAUAAUAAUGAAGAGUGUUUCUUUUGAAAUGUUGUAAAUUUUCAAGUUCAUCAAAAUUAAUGUCCAUAAGAAAGAACAAAUUAGGUUUGAUUUCAUUUUUUUAAUGUAUAUUUGCAGUUUCAAGGAUCAAACAAGAGAAUACGAUUAGAUGCACGGACCAUCUCUGAACAUAGCAAGCAAUUUUUUAUUUUUACUGCUGUCUAAGUCAGUUUUUUUAUCUUUUCAAAUCAAAAUAGGAAAUAUUCAGCCAUAGCGUAUGAACUGCUAAUUUUACACUGUCCGUCACUAAAAGCCUUCAAGAUUAAUCGACAAUUAAAAAUAAUUUUACUUGAUUAAGAGAAUCUCUGGUUGCCUUGGAUGUUAUCUUUACGCCUUUUUACCUUAUGCAUAAAUAUGAAGAGGAUACAAUGAUAAAUUUUAAUUCCUCACGUAUCUGCUAAUCAAACUUAUUUAGCUUGUGUUUCAAGAAAGAGGGUGUAAAAAGAAGAAUUUCUGACACAUUUAUCAGGGUUGCCACAGUCAGGGAAAAGCAGGGAAUGUCAGGGAAUUUCAAAAAGUCAGAAAAAACCUGGAAAAUAUAGGGAAAAUGAUGAAAGUGUCAGGGAAAAAUUUCAAUGCACCUUUAUUUUCUUUCUAGAAUGGAUUUGACAUUUGGAACAGCAAAUUUUGUGUGAAUACUAUUUCGAAUUAUGUCUUUUUAACCAUCUUACAUAUCCUCAAUUUUUUGGGAAUUUCACGCAAAUGUGUCAGGAAAAUCAGGGAAAUGUCAGGGAAAAUGAGUCAGUCAAGUCAUUUUUUUUUAUUAUGUCAUACGAAAGUAGUAAGUAACCGAAGCUUACAGUUUUUUUCCUAAUUUUUUUGAUGACUGCAAACUGGAGAAAAAUUUAUUUGAAAAUGCCAAAAAUUAGAGUGGCCUAAAACGGCGUUUGAACGGCUCGUAGGUUUCGAUUAUACACGUCACGAUCAAUAUGGCGGCGGAAUGCGUAGUGGACGAAUACACGGCGGCGUCGCGUCGGCGGUGUGUUUUUGUUGGUCGAUUGGAGGUUAUGUAGGUUACUUUGUUUGAGAUUUAUACCCAUUGUCCUCAAGAUGAAUCUACAGCGGUGCGUAGUAAGACAUUUUUCCACGCAGGGAGCGCCACCGUUGUGUUUUGAUUUUUUGGUCCACGCUAUUAGAGUCCGUACAGCCCCACAUGAGUCCUUGAGCUUUUAUGAAAGAAAGGAAUUUCUGUUAAAAUCGAAGAGUCAUAAGUUCUAGCUAUAACAUUCUUCUUUCUAUUGACUCUGAAAAAUACGUGAAAAGUAAUUUCUGAAACUUGAUCCCAGAAAAAAGUAGGGUUAAAUUCGAUGACCAUGAUGCAACCAAUCGCGAGUGAUCGCUCUCAGCAGUUGCAGAUAUCUCUCUCCCAGCGAUAGCUAUCUCCUCCGCACUUACAGAUAUCCCAUAAGAGAAACUGGGAUCAAGUUAUAGCUUUUAUUAUUAAACUUUCAAAGCUCGCGGUUGUUUCUAAGCAUUCCAGAUAUAUACCGCGUGGCGGUAGUAAGGAGGUUGGCUUCGUCGCCGCCACCUCCCCGUCUAUGACGCGUAGAUUCGAAGAUUCACGGCGGUCGAUUCAAACAUGUUUCCGAGGACCCCUAAAAAGGGAGCGCUAUAUCUCCGCGGAGACAAUUUUUCGUGAAAUUUCAACGUGUGCAUCGAUCUUCUCGCACUGAAAACUGAAAGAUUCGACUAUUUGCAGGCAAAUCCCUUCCGAGCUGAACUGACUCAUUUCAUUAUCUUAAUUUGGUGGCAACUCUGAUUUAUUCAAAUGUUGAAGUUGGUCUUGUAAUUGACGGAUGCGAAAUGCAGGAUGCCCCCACUCGUCUAUAUUUGAGUUGCCACUGACAUUUCUUGAUACUUGUAUCCUAUCUUCCCACUCAAAGCCCAACAAAGGACAACUUUGUGGCUUGGGCCCGUGUGUAAAAAAAUAAAGACUUCAAAUGGUCAUUUACUGUCUUAAAACAUGGUUUUUGUGUAUGUUGCUUUGUCUGUUGCUAAUGCCUCUAUACCCAGGCAAUAAUAAUCUGUCACAACCUUAAUGCUCAAUCUCGUAGCGCUCGGGAUCCUUUCGUAAAUAAAUGGUUGAAAUUGUCUUAUUGAUUAUAUGAAACAUCUUCAUGUGGUGCAUUGUGUAACUGCUUCAUUAGAGAUUUAAAACCAUAUAUUGUUUAGUUUUUUUUUUUUUUUUUUUUUUUUUUUUUUUUUUUUUUUUUUUUUGUAUCAGGAUUUUACUGUAAGAUCUAGAGCGAAGAUGACUCUGUGAAUAUUUUAUUUAAAUCUUGCCUUGUCAUAAUCUUUUUUUUCUCCUUUGUUUAUAAAAAAUAGCAUUUUCAAUUUCAAAACAAAAAUAAAAUACUCAUAUUUAAUGAAACAACUUAAAAAUAUAAAAGUAAAUGCUUUUUAAAGCCAGAGAUUGUAAAAAAAUAAAUAAAUUAAAUAUACCUAUUUUCUCUUGCUGAGUGUGUCCUCCCCCCUCAUGUAUAAUUUGGAGGCUGAUUUCACGUGUACAUAAUGAGCACCUGUGAAAUUGAGAAGGAAGUGUCCUACGCUUAUGUACUGGUAAAAAGUAUGAUAAAUACCAAAAACAUUGGACGAAACGAAAAAAAGAGAAGAAUAAUUGUUUUACCUCAAUCAUUGCUGUCUGAAUCAGCAUAGUUUGAAUCAACCUCGUCGUAAUCUUUGCCCAUCGCAUCUUUGUCUACUAAUAUUUAAAAACACUCCUCUGCCUUGAUUUUGUCCCACUGAAAUUUCUCCUGUCUCUACUACACGCAUACUUGUAAACCGUACAUGUAAAAAUUGAAUUUAUUUCGCCAACAUCACCACUUAUUUUCCUGUCACAGACUUUUUCACUUUCUUAAAUAACUGAUAAUUUUUCCUUUCCAGGAUAUUGCGUUUUUUUUUGAGGUGCCAUUAUGUAAAAUUCGUAUUAUUUAUAAACUGUAAAUCUUUAAAGCCACUGAGUCUAAAACUGUACUACCGAGAGCCGUUUAAGCAUACAAUAUAUUUACAGUGACAAAACUGAAUUGCGGAUUAAUACCUUUUCCUCAAAAAAUCAGCCCUGUCCCUAAUCCUCAAUCAAAACAUAAGUCAGGGAAAGACUGAGCAUGAAAUAAAUGAAGCUAUCUAACUAUGCUAGGAGAAAAUUGGAGGGAUAAGUUAAGCCUGACGCUUGUUAUCCUGUAUCUGCACUGCAGUGUGUCCAACAUUGCAGAAGCAUGGCAUCACAUGAGGGUGGUGAUUGGGCACUUUGACUGACGGAAAAAAGUCAAAUCCUUAACUUUUGCAUAUAUUGUGUUGCAGACUUUAUGACCAAUCAGAAGUGACAAAGAAGUGCACAUUUCACCCGAAUAAAUACAGGACAUUAAGUAAAAUCACAUUCAAACUGAGAAAAAAUAUAUUUGAUUUUAAAAAAAAGUAAAGAAAAAUAUGAUGAAAAUUUUUAUUUGCACCGUUAUCAAGUUUAGUAAAGGCAUCAAACGUAAAAUUCUCUCAAAAGUACUCUCUAUGUCUUUUUUAUUUAUUAGUUAUUGUUCGAUUUUCAUCCUGCUUUGAUAGGAAGUGAAAAGGAGGAUAAAAAAAUCGCUCUUUCUAAAGGUCCUGUUGUGAUAAGAAUUGGAAAUACAAAGUUGUACAUACUUUAUUGUUAAUACAUUUCUUCCCUUGCCAAUAGUGAGAUUAAAUUGAUGUAUGGUGAGUUUUUCUAUUUACCUCUUCAUGUUUGUUUUUAAAAGAAAUCAUUGAUCUGUAUCGAAUAUUUCUUUACCUAUUCAUGUUUUUAAUUUGGUUUGUUUGUUUGUUUAUUUUAUUUCAUUUUAAUUUGUUUUAUAUAAUUUUAUUUGAUUCUGCUGUAGGUAAUAGGUAGUGGUCUAUGUUUACUUUUAUCUUUGUAAUCGUUUAAAUAUAUUCAGUUAUUUUGUUUUUCCAA